This 498-nucleotide ribosomal RNA is filed under the name uncultured bacterium. RNAcentral's name for it is "bacterial SSU rRNA". It matches the Rfam family "Bacterial small subunit ribosomal RNA", at positions 28 to 525 of the family's 1533-position model. The record is from RNAcentral.
GAUGAACGCUAGCGGGAGGCCUAAUACAUGCAAGUCGAACGGUAACAGGUAGCAAUACGCUGACGAGUGGCGCACGGGUGCGUAACGCGUACACAAUCUGCCUUAUACUGGGGCAUAGCCUUUGGAAACGAAGAAUAAUUCCCCAUAACAUAUAGAAGAGGCAUCUCUUUUAUAUUAAAGCUCAGGCGGUAUAAGAUGAGUGUGCGUCCGAUUAGGUAGUUGGUGAGGUAACGGCUCACCAAGCCAACGAUCGGUAGCUGGUCUGAGAGGAUGAUCAGCCACACGGGCACUGAGACACGGGUCCGACUCCUACGGGAGGCAGCAGUAGGGAAUAUUGGACAAUGGGCGCAAGCCUGAUCCAGCCAUCCCGCGUGAAGGAUGAAGGUCCUCUGGAUUGUAAACUUCUUUUCUUCGGGAAUAAAAACUGGGGUUCUCCUCAGCUUGAAGGUACCGAAGGAAUAAGCACCGGCUAACUCCGUGCCAGCAGCCGCGGUAAAG